CCGAAAUUUUAGGGUGUAAAGCCGAAACUUAGGGACAAAGGCAAAGAAAGUCUUAAGUCAUGAGUGUAUUUUCCCUGAUUUAGGGAGUGAUUCAAGGAGAGCAGAGAGAUUGCUUCCUCAAGCAUAAUUGGUCCAUGAUUUAAGCAGUUCAAAACAUUGGUCCAUGAUUUAAGCAGUUCAAAACAGGUAGAAUCCAAUCCCUCUCUCUCUCUCUCAAACAACUCGAUCGUUCUUCCUUCGCAGGUCACCCAUUGCAGGUUGCCCAUUUUGCUACUCCCAGCUAACCCAUCAAUCAUCGUCCACCGUCUCCUAACCGUGCGGACAACUUUCAUCCACAGCCAAGUUACCUAAAUUUUUGCGAUACAGCCAAGGCAAAGCAUGAGCCAGCCGCUUCUCAGGAUCCAUAACUAUUGGGUUUUCAGUUUGCAAUUGUAUUCUCAGGAUUUGUUUGAUCGGCUGGAGAAAGAGAUGAAAACCUAUAGUCAUAGUUCGUGUAAUUGCUUGAGGCGUGCAUGCAGCUGAGAAGCUGGAACUGGAAAGGAAAUAUAUAGCAGUCUUGCUGAGUCACAUGAAACUUGUAAUAAGAGUGGUACAAAUGAAUAUGGUUUCGAGAAAUGGUCAAGAAAGGAAAAAGGAAAACCAUUUGGAAAUGCAAGGAUGGAUUCUAUGAUACUUAAAUAUUGUUGGAAGUUCUAUGGUUGAAUCUUCGUUCAAUAUGGAUUUGUAUUUUGUUUUUUUAUUACUACAUUACCAUUAAUGUAUGAAAAUAACCAUUCCUA
Long non-coding RNA from Rhododendron vialii, 779 nucleotides. RefSeq lists it as uncharacterized. The transcript has 3 exons. Lineage: Eukaryota; Viridiplantae; Streptophyta; Magnoliopsida; Ericales; Ericaceae. The record is from RefSeq and is a predicted model, not a curated record.